This 22-nucleotide ribosomal RNA is filed under the name uncultured bacterium. RNAcentral describes it as "partial 23S ribosomal RNA". The record is from RNAcentral.
GGUUAAGUUGUUAAGGGCGCAC